This 1070-nucleotide long non-coding RNA is filed under the name Salmo salar (Atlantic salmon). RNAcentral describes it as "lncRNA (ENSSSAG00000106583.1)". The stretch from base 396 to 441 matches the Rfam family "Histone 3' UTR stem-loop". Lineage: Eukaryota; Metazoa; Chordata; Actinopteri; Salmoniformes; Salmonidae. The record is from RNAcentral.
CCCAGUGUAGUGAAGUUUAACUCGGCAACUCGAACAAAUUCUUAUUUACAUUGACGGCCUACCCCUGUAUGAAGGACAAACUUUACUGCCCUGUUUCCAGUUGUCCACAUGGCUGGAAGAACCUAUUCAAAUACCUUGUAACUGGAGAUUCCUUCAAAACGAUUGUCUACAGUUACCGUGUAGGACACUGCAAGGUUGGGUGACCAAGGACCAGGAGGGGAUCUGCAGCUCGCCGCCGUGUGCCAGAGGAGGAGUCUGCUGCUCUGCAGGAUGUUUCAAGGAUGGGGUCCAACAACGCAGCAAGAGAGGCAAUCCGUGUGCAGGAGAUCUUCACCUCCUACUUCAUCAAAGAGGGUGCUGUUCCCUGACAACACCAUAGAUGUCACUAUGCACAACCAAAAGCUCUUUUAAGAGCCAUUCACAUUGCACAUAAAGUACUCUGCAGCCACUUAGUGUGGUGUGGACACCAGGUUAUAUCAGCUGUGUCUGUGAACCCCUCCUGCAUCUGAACUGGCUACAUAGAGGGCACAGCAUGAUCAGAGAUAUGUUUUGAUGUGAGAGGAUGCCAACCCCCAGUCCCAUCAUCACCACCUCACCUGCUUUUAAGAACCUUUGGGCCGACGAGAGACACUAUUAUGUAAUUGUGAUGAACUGAGAGAAUAUUUAUGUAGCACUGUGAUUCAUUAAUCAUGUGCUGCCUUCCCUGCUCCUAUGUGCUUACCUCUUUCUCUUUCUGUCUUUUACACCUCUCUCACCACCUCCUCUUUCUUCCUCUGUUUUUAUAAUGCACAACAGAUGUGCAUUGAAGUACAGAUUAAACUUGUAUUUAUAACACUUGGAUAAUGAGCUUUUCAAUAAAGCGUUUCACAUUCUCUACUGGUUGAAAUGAAGUGUAAUGUGAUGAAAUACUCCACCUAUCCUGUGUUUAUCAGAUCAAUGCAGAUGAAGGGCAUUAGAUGUUGAGAUGAACCAGUGUUAGAGUAUUUACAUGAUGCAUAGGAAGUGUAGUGUACUGUUUUUAACAUUAUAUUUCUGUAUAUAUGAAUUAACUAGUUAAAUCCUGUUUCUAG